Molecule: ribosomal RNA, 230 nt
Filed under: uncultured bacterium
Lineage: Bacteria
Description: partial 16S ribosomal RNA
Rfam family: Bacterial small subunit ribosomal RNA
Source: RNAcentral
ACGCUCGACACCUACGGUAGGCAGCAGUGAGGAAUAUUGGUCAAUGGGCGCAGGCCUGAACCAGCCAAGUAGCGUGAAGGAUGACUGCCCUAUGGGUUGUAAACUUCUUUUAUAUGGGAAUAAAGUUUUCCACGUGUGGAAUUUUGUAUGUACCAUAUGAAUAAGGAUCGGCUAACUCCGUGCCAGCACGCCGGUACGGUUAACUCGUGACGGCGGGCGUGGACGAAGGC